GAGCGAAGCCUUGGUCUCGGCGAAGGCCCAGUCGAUCCACUGCGUCAGAAUGUCGACGUCCCUGGCCUCAACCGUCGCGCCGCACCAGAUGCGAAGGCCGGCCGGAGCAUCGCGGUAAUGCGCGAAGUCGUAACCAGCGCCUUCCUUCUCCACCGCAGCCACCAACUUCUUGGCGAAGUCAGCCUGCGCGUCGGCGGACAGCGCCGUGAUCGCCGGAUCGACGACCUUCAGGCA
RNAcentral lists this unclassified non-coding RNA (234 nucleotides) under Hevea brasiliensis (rubber tree). The record is from RNAcentral. Lineage: Eukaryota; Viridiplantae; Streptophyta; Magnoliopsida; Malpighiales; Euphorbiaceae.